This 700-nucleotide unclassified non-coding RNA is filed under the name Hevea brasiliensis (rubber tree). Lineage: Eukaryota; Viridiplantae; Streptophyta; Magnoliopsida; Malpighiales; Euphorbiaceae. The record is from RNAcentral.
CCCAUAAUUUAAAAAAAAAAAAAAGCUAAUAGAAGCAACUAAAACCUAGAAGCUUCUAUCUUCUUUUCACUACCGGCGACAAAGACUAGGCUAAAGCAAGACUAGGCUAAAGCAAGUUGCCGGAGGCCAUGCAUGGAGCUUCCUUCAUCCACAGACCAGGAGAUACAAGCACCACUAGCCUAGGCAAGAAAGAAAAACCCACCACUAGCACAAACAGACCUGCUAUACCAAAUGGAGAAAACCAAGGGCUCAUCACCAACGCCAUGAGAAAGAAGAAAAGUAGGGCUAUAACAUUCUCAGUCUCAUAUAACUGUAGGAAGCCAACGAACCACUCUUUGAACCCCAGCUUUACAAAUCCCAAUUAGCUCUUUGGAAUCUCUCCCAAACGAAGGCCUUCUGCACCACAAGGACCACCGCAAUGCCCAGGAAGCAGCAAAGGAGAGCAUCUCUAAUAAACAUAGCUUCGGCUAAACAGAUCUUCUACAUUUAACACCCUCACCAUUGAUGUAACAAGAUCUGCCCAAACAAACACCAAAAUCAAAACUAUACAAUCCAAACUGGAAAAGGAGGGAAUCGAAACCAGCCGAAUGAGAUGCCAUCCCUUACCCCGAAGGGAAAGGGAGACCACCGAAGAUAAGCUCGGCUAAACUAAGAAACUAAAACAGAGAGGGAAAAAAAAAAAUCUAGAGAGGAUUUUCUC